CGAAACUUCAGGGCGUUUUUUUUGAACUAGAAUUGCCUCUGGAACAAUUCUCUUUUUACUACUACCUUUAAACUUUAGUUUCUGUAAUCAAAUAUUGAAUGAAAUGUGAAGAACUUGAUAUUGUUAGCAUAAUGAAGAGGGAUUUUGGUAGUGUUGCUUAUGCCACUAUCUGCUCCUGCUCUGCAUACAACUGCUGCUCCAUCCAGGAUGGGAGCGUCUCGUUGAUUUCUCUUUUGAGGCUGUAUGGACGCUUCUCGGCACCGAACAGCCCGAAGCUUUCCGAUGGAACGUCUUUGACCAAGGAGUUGACCCAAGAGACAUCAGGCUCCUCUACUGGUGGAGCAAAUGUGGGAGUUCCGAUGCCGUUGUUUCGGAUCCCAAACGAAGCAGAUUUCUUGAGUUUGUUGAGAUCGUUGCCAUGCACUCCCCAGUCUAGUUUUCCAUCAGGCGAGUUCCAAUCAGAGAGAUGGGAAGACAUUGUAGCUGCAGAAUUUGCAGCUCCGGUAAACCCAGGAAGACGAGUCACUG
Molecule: unclassified non-coding RNA, 528 nt
Filed under: Hevea brasiliensis (rubber tree)
Lineage: Eukaryota; Viridiplantae; Streptophyta; Magnoliopsida; Malpighiales; Euphorbiaceae
Source: RNAcentral